RNAcentral lists this ribosomal RNA (253 nucleotides) under Parabacteroides distasonis. RNAcentral's name for it is "partial 16S ribosomal RNA". It matches the Rfam family "Bacterial small subunit ribosomal RNA", at positions 524 to 776 of the family's 1533-position model. Lineage: Bacteria; Pseudomonadati; Bacteroidota; Bacteroidia; Bacteroidales; Tannerellaceae. The record is from RNAcentral.
UACGGAGGAUCCGAGCGUUAUCCGGAUUUAUUGGGUUUAAAGGGUGCGUAGGCGGCCUUUUAAGUCAGCGGUGAAAGUCUGUGGCUCAACCAUAGAAUUGCCGUUGAAACUGGGGGGCUUGAGUAUGUUUGAGGCAGGCGGAAUGCGUGGUGUAGCGGUGAAAUGCUUAGAUAUCACGCAGAACCCCGAUUGCGAAGGCAGCCUGCCAAGCCAUUACUGACGCUGAUGCACGAAAGCGUGGGGAUCAAACAGG